Molecule: ribosomal RNA, 503 nt
Filed under: uncultured bacterium
Lineage: Bacteria
Description: partial 16S ribosomal RNA
Rfam family: Bacterial small subunit ribosomal RNA
Source: RNAcentral
AUUGAACGCUGGCGGCAGGCUUAACACAUGCAAGUCGAGCGGGGUGAUGGUGCUUGCACUAUCACUUAGCGGCGGACGGGUGAGUAAUGCUUAGGAAUCUGCCUAUUAGUGGGGGACAACAUCUCGAAAGGGAUGCUAAUACCGCAUACGUCCUACGGGAGAAAGCAGGGGAUCACUUGUGACCUUGCGCUGAUAGAUGAGCCUAAGUCGGAUUAGCUAGUUGGUGGGGUAAAGGCCUACCAAGGCGACGAUCUGUAGCGGGUCUGAGAGGAUGAUCCGCCACACUGGGACUGAGACACGGCUCAGACUCCUACGGGAGGCAGCAGUGGGGAAUAUUGGACAAUGGGGGGAACCCUGAUCCAGCCAUGCCGCGUGUGUGAAGAAGGCCUUAUGGUUGUAAAGCACUUUAAGCGAGGAGGAGGCUCUUUUGGUUAAUACCCAAGAUGAGUGGACGUUACUCGCAGAAUAAGCACCGGCUAACUCUGUGCCAGCCGCCGCAGUAA